GUCAUAAUUCUGCGGCCCGCUACAGCGCGGCGGUUUCUCUUUUCCUUACUCCAGCUGUGGUGGAGAGACGCGUCCACCGUACAGUACAGCGCCUCCAGUCUUGGGGUAAGUCGCUUAUAUUAUAGCUGCUAGUAUUUGUAAAUUAGAGAUGAUUAAGGUUAUCUUUGCCUUUUUUGUUUGUAGGGUUUGAUUGCUGCCGCACCCUCUCAGGGACCAACUGCCUGAUUUUAAGCAAAGAGUCGAGACGCCUGCCUAGCUGCUGUCUUGUCUUGCCCUGUUUCAUCUUGUGUUCCGAUCUGUUGGCCGUCCAGUUUUGUUCCUGCUGCUGGCCUCGCCUCGCCCCUGGGGGCUUUUGGUCUCAUGCUAAGCCCCUUUUUUGGACUAUCGUUUUACUCCAGCUUUCGCGGCUAGUCGGGGCGAUCUUCAGCUGUAAAUUGGGCUGGUGUUACAAAAACUGGUACCGCCUCUCCCGUUCCCUCUCCCAGAUGUGGAGAGCUGCGCGAGACUGAGUAGGGCUACGGACAAUCGGAACCAGCACCAGCUGUGGGCUGGCUCGCAGAGUACGAGUAUUUCCAAUCUGUGCUCUGUGGUGUGUAUGUGGGUGUGUUUUAUUGCAGGUCUCUGUUUUUCUUUUAAUUUCUUUUUUUAGUAUAUAGAGAGCCUUUUUAUGUCCCAUGUUUUUAUCCUUUUUAAUGUGUAUAUCUUGUGCUUUUAUUUCAGUGAACUGAGGAUCUACCAGCGGCCGUGGGACCUUAGGUGGUGGGGUCGUUUUCCACACUUUUGUUGUACAGCACCAGGUGAAUAGACUAUAGUGGGGUUUUUUUGUGUGGUUUUCUUUUGGUCCACUGCUGCUGGUAAGUCCCAGUCGUAUGUUUAUUUUUUUGUAAUUUGGGACACUAUUUUAGACAUUUAGUGUGCUGUCUUUGUUGUUUUGUUUUUAUUUUUUUAAUAAAUAAAAUGGUGUUAAUACAUUGAGCCGGCCUCAGUGUGCAUCCCUGAACCUGUGCAAACGUUGUUCUUUUUAAUUACAUUUCAUUUCUAAAGUUCAUAUUUCCCGGGGGCUAGAAUUCCCCCCAGGUGGCGUUGUCAUUUUAUUAUUUCUUUCAUAAACCCGCCGACCACUUGGUCACACAAGCAAAUGGUCAGCCCAAUAAGAGUGUCGCUAACUUCCUCACACUUUACUAGUCCCCUAUAUAAAUACAGGCCAUUUACCAUUUACCAUUUACCACAUAUGCUACAUCAGAUAAAAUACUUUUCCAGUGUGUUUGACUGUGUUUUUCUUUUCCAGUAACUUAAUUAGUAGAAGUUCCUUGAAAUAAAAUUUGGCCCAGUGGUGGUUUGAAGGGUUUCUGAAGCUUCUGCGGGCAGCGACAUUGACAGAGUGCACUGAUUGCAGUUAACAAGCUCUAAAUGUCUUAUCUGGAGUUGUGGUUUCCACACCAACAGCGCUGGAGCCAUCCACCGUGCCAACUGUGCCAUUUGAAAUUGAUUAACUAAUUUAUAUUCAAGCCUGCUGCUUCUUUAAGUCAAGACAAAGAAGAAGUCUCUU
Astatotilapia calliptera (eastern happy) is the source of this 1549-nucleotide long non-coding RNA. The record is from Ensembl. Lineage: Eukaryota; Metazoa; Chordata; Actinopteri; Cichliformes; Cichlidae.